RNAcentral lists this ribosomal RNA (253 nucleotides) under uncultured bacterium. Its description in RNAcentral is "partial 16S ribosomal RNA". It matches the Rfam family "Bacterial small subunit ribosomal RNA", at positions 524 to 776 of the family's 1533-position model. The record is from RNAcentral.
GACGAGCCACACAAACGUUAUUCGGAAUUACUGGGCUUAAAGGGUGCGUAGGCGGUAUGGCAAGUCGGGAGUGAAAUACCCCAGCUCAACUGAGGAACUGCUCUCGAUACUGCCGUGCUUGAGUGAGACAGAGGUAAGCGGAACUUAGGGUGGAGCGGUGAAAUGCGUUGAUAUCCUAAGGAACACCGGUGGCGAAGGCGGCUUACUGGGUCUCAACUGACGCUGAGGCACGAAAGCUAGGGUAGCAAACGGG